This 297-nucleotide ribosomal RNA is filed under the name uncultured bacterium. RNAcentral describes it as "partial 16S ribosomal RNA". It matches the Rfam family "Bacterial small subunit ribosomal RNA", at positions 775 to 1067 of the family's 1533-position model. The record is from RNAcentral.
GGAUUAGAUAACCUGGUAGUCCACGCCCUAAACGAUGCAUGCUUGGUGUUGGACCUGUAUGGGUUCAGUGCCGUAGGGAAUCUGGUAAGCAUGCCACCUGGGGAGUACGAUCGCAAGGUUGAAACUCAAAGGAAUUGACGGGGGCCCGCACAAGCGGUGGAUCAUGUGGUUUAAUUCGAUGCAACGCGAAGAACCUUACCCGGGCUUGAAGUGUAGGAAGUACAGAGAUGAAAGUCGACGGACCCGUCAAAUCGGGAACCUACAGAGGUGCUGCAUGGCUGUCGUCAGCUCGUGCCG